RNAcentral lists this small RNA (640 nucleotides) under uncultured fungus. RNAcentral describes it as "eukaryotic LSU rRNA". The stretch from base 215 to 369 matches the Rfam family "5.8S ribosomal RNA". The record is from RNAcentral. Lineage: Eukaryota; Fungi.
GGAAGGAUCAUUACCGAAUUGUCAACAAGAGUUGUUGCUGGUCCCCGUAUGGGGGCAUGUGCACACUCUGUUUACACAUCCACUCACACCUGUGCACGCUCUGUAGUUCUGUGGCCUGGGUGGGCUCUGUCCCCCCUGCUGUGGUUCUAUGUCUUUACACACACACUACAACAAAGUCUCAUGGAAUGUAUGUCGCGUUUAACGCAAUAAAUACAACUUUCAGCAACGGAUCUCUUGGCUCUCGCAUCGAUGAAGAACGCAGCGAAAUGCGAUAAGUAAUGUGAAUUGCAGAAUUCAGUGAAUCAUCGAAUCUUUGAACGCACCUUGCGCCCUUUGGCUAUUCCGAAGGGCAUGCCUGUUUGAGUAUCAUGAACACCUCAACUCUCAUGGCUUGCCGUGAUGUGCUUGGACUUUGGGGGUCUUGUUGGCCUGUGGGCCAGCUCCUCUUAAAUGAAUCAGCUUGCCGGUGUCUGGUGGCGUCACAGGUGUGAUAACUAUCUACGCUUGUGGUUUCCCACUAGGGUAACCUUCAGCAAUGAAGGUUCACCGGAGCUUAUAAAUGUCUCUCCUCAGCGAGGACAGAUUUUGACCAUUUGAUCUCAAAUCAGGUAGGACUACCCGCUGAACUUAAGCAUAUCAA